Molecule: unclassified non-coding RNA, 188 nt
Filed under: soil metagenome
Description: partial internal transcribed spacer 1
Source: RNAcentral
CAGAGUUGCAAACUCCCACAAACCAAUCGCGAAUCUUACCCGUACGGUUGCCUCGGCGCUGGCGGUCCGGAAGGCCCUCGGGCCCCCCGGAUCCUCGGGUCUCCCGCUCGCGGGAGGCUGCCCGCCGGAGUGCCGAAACCAAACUCUUGAUAUUUUAUGUCUCUCUGAGUAAACUUUUAAAUAAGUCA